This 829-nucleotide ribosomal RNA is filed under the name uncultured bacterium. RNAcentral's name for it is "bacterial SSU rRNA". It matches the Rfam family "Bacterial small subunit ribosomal RNA", at positions 8 to 869 of the family's 1533-position model. The record is from RNAcentral.
AGAGUUUGAUCAUGGCUCAGAGUGAACGCUGGCGGCGUGCUUAACACAUGCAAGUCGAACGGAACCUUCGGGUUUAGUGGCGCACGGGUGAGUAAUGUAUAGCUAACAUGCCCUUUAGAGGGGGAUAACAGUUGGAAACGACUGCUAAUACCCCAUACUCCUUCUUACUUAAUGUAAGUUGGGAAAGUUUUUUCGCUAAAGGAUUGGGCUAUAUGGUAUCAGCUUGUUGGUGAGGUAAUGGCUCACCAAGGCUAUGACGCCUAACUGGUCUGAGAGGAUGAUCAGUCACACUGGAACUGAGACACGGUCCAGACUCCUACGGGAGGCAGCAGUGGGGAAUAUUACACAAUGGAGGAAACUCUGAUGUAGCAACGCCGCGUGGAGGAUGACACAUUUCGGUGCGUAAACUCCUUUUAUUAGGGAAGAUAAUGACGGUACCUAAUGAAUAAGCACCGGCUAACUCCGUGCCAGCAGCCGCGGUAAUACGGAGGGUGCAAGCGUUACUCGGAAUCACUGGGCGUAAAGCGCAUGUAGGCGGUCUUGUAAGUUGGGUGUGAAAGCCUAUGGCUCAACCAUAGAACUGCACCCAAAACUACUAGACUAGAGUCUGGGAGAGGAAAAUGGAAUUAGUUGUGUAGGGGUAAAAUCCGUAGAGAUAACUAGGAAUACCAAAAGCGAAGGCAAUUUUCUGGAACAGUACUGACGCUCAGAUGCGAAAGCGUGGGUAGCAAACAGGAUUAGAUACCCUGGUAGUCCACGCCCUAAACGAUGAAUGUUAGUCGUCGGGAGGCUCGUCCUUUCGGUGAUGCAGUUAACACAUUAAACAUUC